UAUCGCUUACAGAUGGGCCCGCGGUGCAUUAGCUAGUUGGUAGGGUAAUGGCCUACCAAGGCAACGAUGCAUAGCCGACCUGAGAGGGUGAUCGGCCACACUGGGACUGAGACACGGCCCAGACUCCUACGGGAGGCAGCAGUAGGGAAUCUUCCGCAAUGGACGAAAGUCUGACGGAGCAACGCCGCGUGUAUGAAGAAGGUUUUCGGAUCGUAAAGUACUGUUGUUAGAGAAGAACAAGGAUAAGAGUAACUGCUUGUCCCUUGACGGUAUCUAACCAGAAAGCCACGGCUAACUACGUGCCAGCAGCCGCGGUAAUACGUAGGUGGCAAGCGUUGUCCGGAUUUAUUGGGCGUAAAGCGCGCGCAGGCGGUCUUUUAAGUCUGAUGUGAAA
This 394-nucleotide ribosomal RNA is filed under the name Listeria monocytogenes. RNAcentral describes it as "bacterial SSU rRNA". It matches the Rfam family "Bacterial small subunit ribosomal RNA", at positions 213 to 599 of the family's 1533-position model. The record is from RNAcentral. Lineage: Bacteria; Bacillati; Bacillota; Bacilli; Caryophanales; Listeriaceae.